Molecule: transfer RNA, 71 nt
Filed under: Candidatus Woesebacteria bacterium
Lineage: Bacteria; Candidatus Woeseibacteriota
Description: tRNA-Pro
Rfam family: tRNA
About the family: Transfer RNA (tRNA) molecules are approximately 80 nucleotides in length. Their secondary structure includes four short double-helical elements and three loops (D, anti-codon, and T loops). Further hydrogen bonds mediate the characteristic L-shaped molecular structure. tRNAs have two regions of fundamental functional importance: the anti-codon, which is responsible for specific mRNA codon recognition, and the 3' end, to which the tRNAs corresponding amino acid is attached (by aminoacyl-tRNA synthetases). tRNAs cope with the degeneracy of the genetic code in two manners: having more than one tRNA (with a specific anti-codon) for a particular amino acid; and 'wobble' base-pairing, i.e. permitting non-standard base-pairing at the 3rd anti-codon position.
Source: RNAcentral
CGGGGCGUAGCUCAAGUUAGAGCAGUAUGCCUGGUGCAUAAUGUAUGAUGGUUCAAUCCCAUCCGCCCCGA